RNAcentral lists this ribosomal RNA (501 nucleotides) under cf. Trichoderma sp. 790/LP2. Its description in RNAcentral is "eukaryotic LSU rRNA". The stretch from base 160 to 313 matches the Rfam family "5.8S ribosomal RNA". The record is from RNAcentral. Lineage: Eukaryota; Fungi; Ascomycota; Sordariomycetes; Hypocreales; Hypocreaceae.
GUGAACCAUACCAAACUGUUGCCUCGGCGGGGUCACGCCCCGGGUGCGUCGCAGCCCCGGAACCAGGCGCCCGCCGGAGGGACCAACCAAACUCUUUUCUGUAGUCCCCUCGCGGACGUUAUUUCUUACAGCUCUGAGCAAAAAUUCAAAAUGAAUCAAAACUUUCAACAACGGAUCUCUUGGUUCUGGCAUCGAUGAAGAACGCAGCGAAAUGCGAUAAGUAAUGUGAAUUGCAGAAUUCAGUGAAUCAUCGAAUCUUUGAACGCACAUUGCGCCCGCCAGUAUUCUGGCGGGCAUGCCUGUCCGAGCGUCAUUUCAACCCUCGAACCCCUCCGGGGGGUCGGCGUUGGGGAUCGGGAACCCCUAAGACGGGAUCCCGGCCCCGAAAUACAGUGGCGGUCUCGCCGCAGCCUCUCCUGCGCAGUAGUUUGCACAACUCGCACCGGGAGCGCGGCGCGUCCACGUCCGUAAAACACCCAACUUCUGAAAUGUUGACCUCGG